UGCGCUUGUGAUGGGGACCUGGACUCAAUUCUGAGGCCAAUUGAAGUCUGCCGGUUCGUGCUGCCCGAUGCCGUCUGGGUCACCAGAGAGCAAGACAAUAUCUUCAGGGCUCUGUGGCAUUUGGGAAGUUUCUCUUGGCGGACCUUGCGGAAACGAUGGGAUGUGAAUGCCAAUUUGGGCCCUGAUGCUUCUCCCAAAAGCAGGAACUUAAGAAGGCGUGGAAGAGCCCGGGGGCCUCAGUUGGAUCACUGAAUGCACAGGAUAUCCCACCUGAGUGCAGGUUCCCGGUUAUCACUUGAUUCAAGACUCCUUUGUCAGAAGAAGUCCUGACUUGUACAAGUUUAUAAUCUUACAAACUUUCGAUGAAACUGUGCAUAGGGGUUGACUGCAUAGAGAAGCGGCCAACACGCUGAUGAAAAGGGCAAAAGGAUCUGCAAAGACUUAGAGCAGAGAAUCAGAGAGGCACAAAUUUAUGAAACUUACCAAGCAAUCCGUUUGAAUUUAGCAAUAAAAAUAAACGAUAAGAAACUUGAAUAGUCGAUCUUGUUAUUCACGUUGUCUUUCCCAUUGUGACACGUGUCUGCUUUGUGCUGCAUGUAUUUUGUGAUCUUUGUGAUUUUUUGGACAAGGUUUUGUUCUGUGUUUAUCUGUUUCUGUAGUCCAGCUGUCUGAAUUUUAUUAUUGUAUUAUAUGUUAGCACUACCGCACAUGAUUAAAUGGUUGCACUUGAUUUGUUUUGCCAAUAGUUGCGGUGUAGUAGGUUUUGUUUAUUGUGCUUUUACUUA
Long non-coding RNA from Sphaerodactylus townsendi, 785 nucleotides. RefSeq lists it as uncharacterized. NCBI's taxonomy places the organism in Eukaryota, Metazoa, Chordata, Lepidosauria, Squamata, Sphaerodactylidae. The transcript is spliced from 3 exons. The record is from RefSeq and is a predicted model, not a curated record.